RNAcentral lists this ribosomal RNA (538 nucleotides) under Neofusicoccum parvum. RNAcentral's name for it is "eukaryotic LSU rRNA". The stretch from base 198 to 351 matches the Rfam family "5.8S ribosomal RNA". Lineage: Eukaryota; Fungi; Ascomycota; Dothideomycetes; Botryosphaeriales; Botryosphaeriaceae. The record is from RNAcentral.
CCUGCGGAAGGAUCAAUUACCGAGUUGAUUCGAGCUCCGGCUCGACUCUCCCACCCAAUGUGUACCUACCUCUGUUGCUUUGGCGGGCCGCGGUCCUCCGCACCGGCGCCCUUCGAGGGGCUGGCCAGCGCCCGCCAGAGGACCAUAAAACUCCAGUCAGUGAACUUCGCAGUCUGAAAAACAAGUUAAUAAACUAAAACUUUCAACAACGGAUCUCUUGGUUCUGGCAUCGAUGAAGAACGCAGCGAAAUGCGAUAAGUAAUGUGAAUUGCAGAAUUCAGUGAAUCAUCGAAUCUUUGAACGCACAUUGCGCCCCUUGGUAUUCCGAGGGGCAUGCCUGUUCGAGCGUCAUUUCAACCCUCAAGCUCUGCUUGGUAUUGGGCCCCGUCCUCCACGGACGCGCCUUAAAGACCUCGGCGGUGGCGUCUUGCCUCAAGCUGUAGUAGAAAACACCUCGCUUUGGAGCGCACGGCGUCGCCCGCCGGACGAACCUUUGAAUUAUUUCUUCAAGGUUGACCUCGGAUCAGGUGAGGGAAGU